Molecule: ribosomal RNA, 229 nt
Filed under: uncultured bacterium
Lineage: Bacteria
Description: partial 16S ribosomal RNA
Rfam family: Bacterial small subunit ribosomal RNA
Source: RNAcentral
UGCGUAGGCGGGCUAAUAAGUCAGUAGUGAAAUCUCUCGGCUCAACCGGGAAACUGCCAUUGAUACUGUUAGUCUUGAGUUCGGUUGAGGUAGGCGGAAUGUGUAAUGUAGCGGUGAAAUGCUUAGAUAUUACACAGAACACCAAUUGCGUAGGCAGCUUACUAGACCGACACUGACGCUGAGGCACGAAAGCGUGGGGAGCGAACAGGAUUAGAUACCCUGGUAGUCC